UAUCAGGUCCAUAAUGACACCCUGUCCCCUAUAUCAGGUCCAUAAUGACACCCUGUCCCCUAUAUCAGGUCCAUAAUGACACCCUGUCCUCUAUACCGGGUCCAUAAUGACCCCCUGUCCCCUAUAUCAGGUCCAUAAUGACACCCUGUCCUCUAUACCGGGUCCAUAAUGACACCUUGUCCCCUAUAUCAGGUCCAUAAUGACACCCUGUCCCCUAUA
Long non-coding RNA from Oncorhynchus keta (chum salmon), 219 nucleotides. RefSeq lists it as uncharacterized. The record is from RefSeq and is a predicted model, not a curated record. The transcript is spliced from 3 exons. NCBI's taxonomy places the organism in Eukaryota, Metazoa, Chordata, Actinopteri, Salmoniformes, Salmonidae.